Long non-coding RNA from Medicago truncatula (barrel medic), 1848 nucleotides. RefSeq lists it as uncharacterized. The record is from RefSeq and is a predicted model, not a curated record. NCBI's taxonomy places the organism in Eukaryota, Viridiplantae, Streptophyta, Magnoliopsida, Fabales, Fabaceae. The transcript is spliced from 3 exons.
CAUUAUGGAACUUUCAAGAUGUCGAAGAACUUUCAAGAAUAUUACAAAAUAAAGUCAUAGUGAUUAGGAUCAUCUUAGCAUCUCUAGAACUUUCUAGGCACAUGAACUAGAUAUUAGAAUCUCUAGAUAGUUCUUGUAAUUAAGUAGUAGCAUUAAAUGUUUCUAGAUAUUUCUAGUUUGUAAUAUAGAGCCUUCCUAGUGUAGUAUAAAUAAGGCUCACCACUAAGUGUUUAGGCACAUUCAAAUCAUCAAGCAUUGAAUCAUUCAAGUAAUAUAACUUUUCUUUGAGAAUAUUAGAGUGUUUCUCUAUUUUCUCUACCUUUCCUUUUGUCCCUGAGCCAUUUAAUCAAGAACAACUUGAAGCUCUCCAGAAAAUGUUCUCUCAGAUGUCUUCCCAAAGCAACACCAAAGUUAAGGGGUGAAAGAAAAGUGAUGUGCACUUCGACCGCUAUUCUAUUUUUCUGAAGAUAUAAAGUGCUUGGACGGGAAGUGGCUUCAAUGUCCGACUUUCAUUCUUGUCAUAGAAUGAGAACUACCAAGCUCAAUUCAUUACCAGAAGAGGGAAUUGCAUAUCAGAAACUGCCAAUUGUGAGAAGCAAAUUAGAAGAGGAAGCAAAGAAAAUAGUGGUGCAAGAUUGUUCACAUUUCCUCCAUAGUUAUCAACAACAAAAUGAUCGCAUGAGUGUUGUGUCCAGAUUUGGUGGCUUAGUCUCAAGGGUGAUUGUGUGACUGGAACCAAGAUGAAAGCAGCAACAUCCUCUUUUAAUUAAAUGCAAUACUUCUUUGUAAUUAUUCAUCUAUAAACUUCCUCUUUGAUAGUUUUUUUUAGCAUUAGUCCUUUAAAAUACAUGUGUUCAUGACAUAACUGAUAAAUUGUUUAACUUCAACCUCACAGAAUCCGUAUACUGUUGAGCUAAUGGAUGAGAAAUAUCGUCUUCUUUGAAAAUCUAAGCUUGUUUUGGUCCUUUGUGUUGUGCGUUGUGAUUUUUGUUUGAGCCCUGAGGUUCUCAGACAUAGCAAGUAUUGAUUCAGAAAAGGAGAUAAUUGAUGGAGCAACUCAUAGAAGAAGCAAUUGUCUGUCAUAGUUGAUUUCCCAGAAAUUUCUUUGCCACCAAGCGCUGGAUGCAGUAGAGGAUCAAUCCCUACUCAUGAAAAUCAAAAAGGAGAAGUUUUUUCUUAUAAGCUGAAUAUUUGUUGUAAUUUCUCAAGCUAUCUGUAUUCAUUCAAAUUAAGCAACUUAUUAUGGGUUUUGUGAUAGAAGCACUUUUUCCAGCUUAUGUGGAGGUGUUGUUUGAAAAUAUUCUUUCUGAUACUUGGUGAAAACAUUAUUUAAUUUCAUUUUGCCACAUGCUCAUUCUGAGUGAAUAAAAUUUUCAAAAUGGAAGAAAAUACUGUGCACAGUUAUUCAGAAAUUGAUUUGUUGCUACAAUACCAUUUGUAUCUGAAUAAGCUAUGAUACCAUUAAGCCUGGCAAUGAAAGAUAAGCUAUUAUUUCACAUGAGCAGUGGUCUAAAAGACAAUUAAUUUACCACAUAGAGACUUUUUUAAUUUGAUUUAGUAAACUUCUGGAAAGCUUGAACUAUGUACCUCAAUCAACUUAAAUUCAUCUGGAAGUAAAUGUAUAGCAAUAGCUUAUUUAUAUGCUGAGAGGAAGUGAAGAGGUGGAGAAAAGAGAAAUCCUAUGAAAAGAAUGUAUGACCCAUCGCGACUUUCCUCUAUUAUUUAUGGGAUCUAUGCUUGACUUUCCUCUCCAUCGCGACUGGUUUGAUCCCAUCGUUCUUCCCAAUGUCUGGUCGCACGUUUAAAGUCUUCAGUUUCUCAAUAAGGGCAUGUGUGAUAAUCUUGUCA